Molecule: non-coding RNA, 787 nt
Filed under: Phlebotomus chinensis
Lineage: Eukaryota; Metazoa; Arthropoda; Insecta; Diptera; Psychodidae
Source: RNAcentral
AAAAUAUUUUAUUAUAGUAAUAAAAUUUAUUAAUUGAAUAAUUUAUAUGUAAAUUUUUGUGGGAAUAAUUAGUAUUUAAAAAAUAAUUAAUAAAUUUAUUCGCAGUAAUUAAUAUUAUUAAUUUAAGAAAUUAUGAAUUAGUAAUUUAAUUUAAUAUAGAUUUAUUUUGUGCCAGCAAUCGCGGUUAUACAAAGUAUAUAAAUAAAUUAAAUUAGAAAAAUUUAAAUAAUAAUAAUUAAUUAAAUUUUAAUUUAUAUUAUUAGGUGAAAUUUUAAUAUUUUAUAAAUUUAAUAAAUAAAAUAAUUGAUUUUGUAAAUUUUUAAAUAAACUAGGAUUAGAUACCCUAUUAUUAAAAUAUAAUAUUUAAAUUCUAGAUUAAUAUUAAAUAUAUUUAUGAAACUAAAAUAAUUUGGCGGUAUUUUAGUCUAUUCAGAGGAAUUUGUUCUAUAAUCGAUAAUCCGCGUUAAAUCUUACUUAUUUUAUUUAAUUUGUAUAUCGUUAUCAUUAGAAUAUUUUAUAAGAAAAAAUAAUUUUCUUUAAUUUUAGUUAAAAUUUUAUGUUAAAUCAAGGUGCAGUUUAUAUUUAAGUAGAAAUGAAUUAUAAUAAUAUAUAAUUAAAUGAAUAGGUAUUUGAAAAAAUAUGUUGAAAGUAGAUUUGAUAGUAAAUUUAUAUAUUAUAUUAAAUUGAUUUUAGCUCUAAAAUAUGCACAUAUUGCCCGUCGCUCUUAUUAAUUAAAGUAAGAUAAGUCGUAACAAAGUAGAAUUACUGGAAAGUGAUUCUAGAUAGA